This 253-nucleotide ribosomal RNA is filed under the name uncultured bacterium. Its description in RNAcentral is "partial 16S ribosomal RNA". It matches the Rfam family "Bacterial small subunit ribosomal RNA", at positions 524 to 776 of the family's 1533-position model. The record is from RNAcentral.
GACGUAGGGGGCAAGCGUUGUCCGGAAUCAUUGGGCGUAAAGCGCUCGUAGGUGGAUCGGUAAGUCUGCAAAGAAAGACCCGGGCUCAACUCGGGGAACGGUGUGGAUACUACCGAUCUUGAGGCAAUCAGAGGAUGAUGGAAUUCCCGGUGUAGCGGUGAAAUGCGUGGAUAUCGGGAGGAACACCAGUGGCGAAGGCGAUCAUCUGGGGUUGUUCUGACACUGAGGAGCGAAAGCUAGGGGAGCAAACGGG